This 1212-nucleotide ribosomal RNA is filed under the name Candidatus Phytoplasma solani. RNAcentral's name for it is "bacterial SSU rRNA". It matches the Rfam family "Bacterial small subunit ribosomal RNA", at positions 153 to 1399 of the family's 1533-position model. Lineage: Bacteria; Bacillati; Mycoplasmatota; Mollicutes; Acholeplasmatales; Acholeplasmataceae. The record is from RNAcentral.
GAAACGACUGCUAAGACUGGACCUAGCAAUAGGUAUGCUUAGGGAAGAGCUUGCGUCACAUUAGUUAGUUGGUGGGGUAAUGGCCUACCAAGACGAUGAUGUGUAGCCGGGCUGAGAGGUCGAACGGCCACAUUGGGACUGAGACACGGCCCAAACUCCUACGGGAGGCAGCAGUAAGGAAUUUUCGGCAAUGGAGGAAACUCUGACCGAGCAAUGCCGCGUGAACGAUGAAGUAUUUCGGUACGUAAAGUUCUUUUAUUAGGGAAGAAAAGAUGGUGGAAAAACCAUUAUGACGGUACCUAAUGAAUAAGCCCCGGCUAACUAUGUGCCAGCAGCCGCGGUAAUACAUAGGGGGCAAGCGUUAUCCGGAAUUAUUGGGCGUAAAGGGUGCGUAGGCGGUUAAAUAAGUUUAUGGUCUAAGUGCAACGCUCAACGUUGUGAUGCUAUAAAAACUGUUUAGCUAGAGUUGGAUAGAGGCAAGUGGAAUUCCGUGUGUAGUGGUAAAAUGCGUAAAUAUACGGAGGAACACCAGAAGCGAAGGCGGCUUGCUGGGUCUUAACUGACGCUGAGGCACGAAAGCGUGGGGAGCAAACAGGAUUAGAUACCCUGGUAGUCCACGCCCUAAACGAUGAGUACUAAACGUUGGAUAAAACCAGUGUUGAAGUUAACACAUUAAGUACUCCGCCUGAGUAGUACGUACGCAAGUAUGAAACUUAAAGGAAUUGACGGGACUCCGCACAAGCGGUGGAUCAUGUUGUUUAAUUCGAAGGUACCCGAAAAACCUCACCAGGUCUUGACAUGCUUUUGCAAAGCUGUAGAAAUACAGUGGAGGUUAUCAGAAGCACAGGUGGUGCAUGGUUGUCGUCAGCUCGUGUCGUGAGAUGUUGGGUUAAGUCCCGCAACGAGCGCAACCCUUGUUGUUAAUUGCCAUCAUUAAGUUGGGGACUUUAGCAAGACUGCCAAUGAUAAAUUGGAGGAAGGUGGGGACGACGUCAAAUCAUCAUGCCCCUUAUGACCUGGGCUACAAACGUGAUACAAUGGCUGUUACAAAGGGUAGCUAAAGCGUAAGCUUCUGGCGAAUCUCAAAAAAGCAGUCUCAGUUCGGAUUGAAGUCUGCAACUCGACUUCAUGAAGUUGGAAUCGCUAGUAAUCGCGAAUCAGACACGACUGCUAAGACACCACAUUCUCGGGGUUUGUACACACCGCCCGUCA